RNAcentral lists this ribosomal RNA (193 nucleotides) under uncultured bacterium. RNAcentral's name for it is "partial 16S ribosomal RNA". It matches the Rfam family "Bacterial small subunit ribosomal RNA", at positions 338 to 528 of the family's 1533-position model. The record is from RNAcentral.
CCUACGGGAGGCAGCAGUAAGGAAUAUUGGUCAAUGGGCGAGAGCCUGAACCAGCCAAGUAGCGUGCAGGAUGACGGCCCUAUGGGUUGUAAACUGCUUUUAUAAGGGAAUAAAGUGAGCCUCGUGAGGCUUUUUGCAUGUACCUUAUGAAUAAGGACCGGCUAAUUCCGUGCCAGCAGCCGCGGUAAUAAGG